Long non-coding RNA from Salvia splendens (bonfire salvia), 2057 nucleotides. RefSeq lists it as uncharacterized. Lineage: Eukaryota; Viridiplantae; Streptophyta; Magnoliopsida; Lamiales; Lamiaceae. The record is from RefSeq and is a predicted model, not a curated record. The transcript is spliced from 4 exons.
GAUAAAUUAAUAAAUAAUACAAAAUCCAACCUUGUGGAAAAUAAAUUGUGGGCUACACAAUUUAAAUAGAGUACAAAGGAUCGUGAACCAAAUCAAUUUAAUUAAAUCUUUUUCUCCUUGACUUGGUCACAAAGACUUCCCUUAGUUUCAAAUUUUAAACAAAUAUUCUGCAGAAAUCUUCCCCUCCUUCUCUUACGCGAUUUUCCUCUCCUCCUCUUUGAUCUGCAAAUAAAAUCCCAAAGAAAUAAAAUUAGUCAAUCCCAAUUAAUUUUGUGAAAUCAAUUACCCAUUAUCCACCCCCUUUCCCACGUUCAUAACCGUUCCCCACUCUGUAAAUAUCUUCCAAAUCUAGACCUCAACAAACUCCCGAUUAUACUCCCACACUAUGCAGUAUAUUGAUCGCCAUACCCUAAUCUCUCCUCACACAAAUUCUGCAGUCACAACUCUCUCAAGGCGGCAGAGAACGCAGUGAAAAGAGCCCAUUCUUCUCCUCUCUCAACCCUGAUUCCACUAAGGGUCGAGACAGAGAGUUGACAGUUUGUUAUUCAAGAACCACUUUUUUCAGAUCCUUGCUGAUCUUGAUUUCUCAUCCACAGAGGUAAUUAAAAAAAAAUCUAUCACCCUCUUUCUCAAGAUGAAUUCACAUCGACACAGGAAACUUAUUUUGACAGAAACCAAGAAUCCAAAUUCAGGGAGGAGAAACCAGCAGCCUUGACCUUUUGCCUGAGCCGAUUUGUUCAGUGAAGGUUGAGCGACGACGAACAAUUGGUGUUGUUGAGCAAUUAAAAUUGAAGUAUUGUUUGGUUAUCUUUGAACUACAAGUGUCGUUGUGUCUCCACACAUGGCGUCACUCUUUCUCUUGAACGCUUCCGCUGAGACAUUGUUUUUUUUUUCAUCAUUUAUUUAGCUUUGAACCUAAUUAUUUGGAUAUUUGAAAACUUGAUAUCUUUUGGAUAAUGUCUAACCCUUGGUCGUUUUUUUUAUUAAAUAUUGGUCAAACUCUUUAUUGAAACCAUAGUUUUUCUACGCCUAUUUAUUUAGUUCUUUUAAUCACGAUCGCCCGUAUUUAUUAACCCUAAAGGACGGUCGUGAUGGUUUGGUAUCAGAGCCUCAGUUCUUUCCGCUCUGGACCCAAGAGUCUUUUUGAGUCCAAAUCUAUCCUUGUAUUAAUUGGCUAAAGUGUUAAACAUCAAAGGCUCAACACCACAACUCGUCACGCCCAACCACGAAGAAAGAGAUGGCCAGGCCGUAUUAUGCUCCGAUGCGUAAUCGUUAUGCCAGAAAUAAGAACUUCCCAGUUGAGAGCUACAAAGAAAACGAGUGGGAUGGAAAGAUCUACCUUAUGGUUUACGUCGCCGAGUUUUACGAUAGAUGGAUGGACGCCUACGCGUAUGGGGGAGCCAUCCAUCACGCGGGAGUCGCAAGGCUCAUCCACACCCUACCGCCCCCUUGGAGCCAGUGGGUCGCCCAAGCGGCAGAUUCAUUCACAUGGUAUAGCCCGCCAGAGUACGAACCGCGAGGGGACUUGCUCGGCCUUUUAGGGGUACUACUUCCGGCCUUAGUGGCUGCAUCCGAUGGACCACCACGUUACCCACCUCUGCAGAUUUUUCCGCCUGACCAAGCUCUCUUAAAGAAAUAUCAUUAUGACAAGGAGCCACACGUCUCACGCUCUCCCAAAAGAGCAAGGCUUGGGAUGCGCACUUCGGCUCCUCCAAGAAUAGACAGGGAGGUCGAGAAGAUACUCAUGACGAUCCCCACCCGUGCGUGCCGAAGAAGAAGAUGAGGAGGAGGAGGAACCCCUCGAGGAAGAAUGGAACCCAAAUAGGGAGAGUGUUGGCGAGACCGAAGAGGAGGAGGAGGAGAAAGAGAAGGGAGAAAUUUAGAGACGAUAGUCAUGGAAUAGAUUGUUUUGCGUUCCCCAUGUUUUGAUACCUUAUUGUUUCUACUUGACUAUUUACCAUUAUGUUUCCACAUUUUGGUUUUUUCUCCUUCCUUGGUUGUGAUUGAUACUAAGAUCUCUUGGAGGCAACGUUUUGAUAUGCUAUGGGGAAUUUCUA